This is a long non-coding RNA of Misgurnus anguillicaudatus (oriental weatherfish), 1680 nucleotides long. RefSeq lists it as uncharacterized. NCBI's taxonomy places the organism in Eukaryota, Metazoa, Chordata, Actinopteri, Cypriniformes, Cobitidae. The record is from RefSeq and is a predicted model, not a curated record.
GGAUGACAUGGUGGUGAGUAAAUUAUCUGGAUUUUUUGACUUUUUUAUUAAGAAAACGGACUAAUCUUUUAAGAAAAUCUCUUCAUUUAUUCUCAUUUGUCAAUGAGAUACAACUGAAAAAUCAAGUCCUUUAUAAAUAGAUUUAGGAUUACAGGUUGAGACACAAACAAUGUUUCGGUCAUGCAGGACCUUCCUCAUUGUUCUCCAGAAGGUUCUGUAUCACCAAAAUCUCUCUCUCUCUCUCUCUCUCUCUCUCUCUCUCUCUCUCUCUCUCAUGUAUGUUGCCUGUGCUCACUACUGGAACACUUCCUAAUGGAGUUUGGCCAAUAUCUUGAUCGCAAACAAUCUUUCGCAGGUCAUCUGAGGUUUUAUUUAUGCAAUAACUACUACAGUAAUUCAGGGUUUGGUCUCCUGGAGGUCUUUCCUGCAUCGGCUUCCUCUGACCAGCUGAAGGAAAGAACAUUGGGUCAUUAUCACAGGGAAUAAAGCCACCGGGCGAGAGACACAAACAGCGAGAGAGGAGGGACUGUUGGGAAUGCUUUUCCCGGUCUCUGGAAUGCAGUCCAGUUGCUGAAUAAUACAACGAAAACACUGACCUACUUUUACACACUGGGAACAUGCAAGAUGGAAAACCUGGAGUGGAACAUGAGGGGAGCUGGAUGGGAAAGACGGAGGCGAGACUUACAGCAGGGUGGAUGAAAGACAGAAGACUGGAUGAGGAAUCUCUGUGACGGAUCUGCAUACAAAACCAUGCUUACUGAUGACACUUAAAACAUCUUUACAAGCUUAUUUUAAUGUAGUAAGAAAAUGAAAUACUGCUCACAAGUCUGUAUAGAGACAGAAAGAGAGUGCAGCAAAAAUUAUUACAAUGCAGAAACACUUUAUCAUUUACAUUUCUGCGUAGGAGGAAAGACCAAACGUGGUAAAAAAAUCCUCUUAUAUAUUUUUAAUCAGAUGUAUUGCUGUUUAGGGGAGGAUACUGAUUAUGUAUUAUGUCACUGAUUGUGAUUGUGAGGUUUUUUUUAUUUGCUCUUUAUACCCGAUGAAGGUCAUGGGACCAAAACGUUGUGAUUAGGGUUUCCACAAAAUAUAAAUUUAAUAUAACCUAAUUUCUCAGAGAUCCCCGAAUGAUUGACGCAAAGCCGUUCAAAGAUUCAGUCUGUCAAAACCACGCCUACUCUGCUCUGAUUGGUCCACUGACACAGUCAGUUUUGAUUGCUUUAAAGGUGCAGUGUGUAAAUUUUAGCAGCAUCUAGUGGUGAGGUUGUAAAUUGCAACCGACGGCUCAGUCCACUGCUCACCCCUCGCUUUUGAAACGCAUAGAGAAGCUACAGUAGCUGCCACCGGAAAAACAUGUCGUUGACGGAGACAACUUAAUUAAAAAGUUUGUCCGUUAAGGGCUUCUGUUGAAUCAUGGCGGCACAAAAUGGCGACUUCCACGUAAGGGGUCCCACAGUGUAUGUAGAUAAAAACGUCUCAUUCUAAGGUUAUAAAAACAUAACAGUUCAUUAUAAAAAAUGUCUUUAUACACCCCUGCUAAUAUAGUUUUGUAUAUUAUUUAGCAUUUCUGUCAACAGAUCCUUUUAAAAAUUACACACUGCACCUUUAACCUAGUGCUAACGUGACUUACUGAUAAGACAUUAGAGUUUAAAAACAUUACAUUUCGUUUAUCAUUAAUCC